UGGGGAAUUUUGGACAAUGGGCGCAAGCCUGAUCCAGCCAUGCCGCGUGCGGGAAGAAGGCCUUCGGGUUGUAAACCGCUUUUGUCAGGGAAGAAAUCUUCUGAGUUAAUACCUCGGGAGGAUGACGGUACCUGAAGAAUAAGCACCGGCUAACUACGUGCCAGCAGCCGCGGUGAAUACGUAGGGUGCAAGCGUUAAUCGGAAUUACUGGGCGUAAAGCGUGCGCAGGCGGUUUUGUAAGACAGAGGUGAAAUCCCCGGGCUCAACCUGGGAACUGCCUUUGUGACUGCAAGGCUUGAGUGCGGCAGAGGGGGAUGGAAUUCCGCGUGUAGCAGUGAAAUGCGUAGAUAUGCGGAGGAACACCGAUGGCGAAGGCAAUCCCCUGGGCCUGCACUGACGCUCAUGCACGAAAGCGUGGGGAGCAAACAGGAUUAGAUACCCUGGUAGUCCACGCCCUAAACGAUGUCAACUGGUUGUUGGGAAGGUUCCUUCUCAGUAACGUAGCUAACGCG
RNAcentral lists this ribosomal RNA (512 nucleotides) under uncultured bacterium. RNAcentral's name for it is "partial 16S ribosomal RNA". It matches the Rfam family "Bacterial small subunit ribosomal RNA", at positions 355 to 859 of the family's 1533-position model. The record is from RNAcentral.